RNAcentral lists this ribosomal RNA (265 nucleotides) under uncultured anaerobic ammonium-oxidizing bacterium. RNAcentral describes it as "partial 16S ribosomal RNA". It matches the Rfam family "Bacterial small subunit ribosomal RNA", at positions 565 to 828 of the family's 1533-position model. The record is from RNAcentral.
GAGCACGUAGGUGGGUUUGUAAGUCAGAUGUGAAAGCCUUCUGUUCAACGGAAGAAUUGCAUCUGAAACUACGAAUCUUGAGUGUAGGAGGGGAGAAUGGAACUUCUGGUGGAGCGGUGAAAUGCGUAGAUAUCAGAAGGAACGCCGGCGGCAAAAGCGAUUCUCUGGCCUAUUACUGACACUCAGUGUGCGAAAGCUAGGGGAGCAACCGGGAUUAGAUACCCCGGUAGUCCUAGCCGUAAACGAUGGGCACUAAGUAGAGGGU